RNAcentral lists this long non-coding RNA (571 nucleotides) under Nicotiana benthamiana. RNAcentral describes it as "long non-coding RNA (NBEN_LNC031309)". Lineage: Eukaryota; Viridiplantae; Streptophyta; Magnoliopsida; Solanales; Solanaceae. The record is from RNAcentral.
AAUAGAUAGUUGUCUCAUCAAUAGAUAGAAAUAGGAGAUUUCCCCUUAUUCUUGAGAGAUUCCCUCUCUAUCUCUUUCGAUCUAUCAGAACAGAUCAGGCUAUCUAUCAAUCGAUUUGAAAAUAGCACGCUCAUCUCGCUUUUCGUUCAUUUUCGUCACGAAAACAUAGCCGCCAUAAUAAGAAGCAGGCGAAGCAGCUAGAAGUACUCGCUUCACGCCCUUGAAUUAUUAUUCACGAAUGAAUUGGGAAAGCCAACAGAAAGAUUCGAUUCUGACUUCGUAGAGCCGGUGCUGCUGUUGCCUGCGCGUAGGGCCGUCCCCCACUCCCGUCCCGGGGCGCUAAGGGGCUUUUGUUUUUGGAACAGACGGCAGUGUUUUGCUGACGCCUCGAAUCAAGCUUUUAUUGCGACAUGCUAUGCUUUCUCCCCCAUUGCUAGUAGGUUGAUGGGUCGCGCGCCCGGCACACAUGUUUUGGCCUUGUGUGUCCAUAACUCAAAAUAGGUGACCUAACGGCCGCCGCCCGACUAAACAUACCAAUAGUCACCAGAUUCAUAUGAGCUACUGAGGAGUA